Molecule: RNA transcript, 8270 nt
Organism: Dreissena polymorpha
Lineage: Eukaryota; Metazoa; Mollusca; Bivalvia; Myida; Dreissenidae
Gene name: protein ZGRF1-like
Exons: 31
Source: RefSeq, a predicted model, not a curated record
AGCAAAUAGAUGGCGCUUUAAUUGAACGGGUUGUUGUUGCUGUCACCGGUGAUCGUCUGGGUUUGCUUCUGUUGUUCUGCUGGUGUUGUUGCUGACAUUUGCCAUCACUUCAAAAUACUAUGAUGAAGUGAAUAAUGUGAAUGUGAAGCACAAUGGAGAAAGAAUUUGUGGUCCUGUAUACGCAACAGAAGCAAAAGAAAGCUAAGACCUGGCAUGACGGAACCCUCUUGCUCUCAGGAAAUGGAACUAAGGCAACAUUGCUGGACAGUAAGGGCUGUAGACUGGACACUGUACAUGUGAGGUUGGAGGACGUGCUACCAGGGGAACAGUUGGAGAGUGACCGCUAUUACAUACAGAUUGAAGACCUGAAAAGUACUACAAAGGAACAUAAUGCUUCUGCAUGUGUUGUUCCAAAGGAAUCAAGGGAUAAUAAUGUGCAAGUCAAACCAAUGUCCAAGUCAAGAUGUGCUGGUCUCAAAAGGAAAAUGCCAGGUUUUAUGCCUCCAAGACUGACUAUGCAGCCCAGUAUUCCAACCAGUUUAAUGGUUGCAAACCAGUUGGUCAAUAACCAGUCUGGUUCGCCCAUGCAGAAAACUGUUAAUCCCAUCAUCAAGCAAUGGGGUUGUACCAAUAUGAAUUUACCAGCACCCCUCGAUAGAGUCAACAGAAAUGUUAUUAAUUUGUAUACAAGUUUUGGCAAAGACGAUGAGAGUCCAAGUCAAGAAUCUAAAACAAACUCUCCUACUGGACUGGUUCUUUCGCCUUGGUCUGUGUAUGGAUCAAAGAAAAGUAGUCCAAUAGUGCAAAAUCUAUAUCAUCCAGAAAUGCUUGGUAAAGAGCAAUCUGCUGGAUAUAAUGGUUUUACUCAUGAAUUCAAAGACAAUUUGAAUGAUAUAGGAUCUAUUAGAGAAUCAGUUUCAAGGCGGUCUGUCUCAUCAAAGUAUAAUACUGACUCUCAACUUGAAUUUGUUUCUGAAAAUAUGAAGACUGACCCGAAUGAAAACUAUACAGACAUUUCCAAAAGAGACUCAGAAUGGAAAUCUUGUUAUGUAGAGGUUGCUAAAAGCAGCUUUAUAGACUCUAAGCCAGUGAAACGUAAUGUUAAAGAUAUCAUGAAAUUAUUGAGCAACAAGACAAAUCAAGUUUGUGUGAAAAUGAAAUUAGAACCACAGCCAGAAUGUGCUAAUGAAGAGUGUAAUUCUUAUAAGCAAGAUAAUUGUACUUUAACAAAUAACAGUGGAUUUAUAGUUUACGAAAACAAUACUGAAACCUUUUGUUUAGGAAUGAAAGGUGUGGAUCAGAUAUUUAAAGAACAUGGCGUAAAACAGGCACAAAAAGAGUUUGAUUAUUUCCAUGAUGAAGUAAUAAUUGAUGCAUUUAAUGGGAGUGAAAUGUCUACUGAUCACAGUUGUCUGAAAGUUAAUAAUUCAUCAAAAGCACCAUGUUCAAAUUCAGGAACUGGUGUAGAAGAGAAAGAACAAUCUUAUAGGAACUGUGUAAACCUUGGUUUGGAAGAUAAAGAUUUGGAGAUGAGUACCCAUAUUGUUGGACAAUUUGAUAUAAACUUUUCGCCUCUCUCAGAGACUUGCAAUAGUGAUGACGAACAUUCAGACAGUGUUGAAGAAACAUUCAAUGACAGAACUGAGAUUGUUCAAAAUUCUUUCAAUCCUGAAACCACACCUUGUUCACAAAUUUAUUCACAGCCUUUUCUGACUGGCAUUGUGUUAAAAAGUAAAGACAGGAGUUUGCACAAUCUUGAAACAUUGAGUCAAGACUGUAAAACAGAAGACAACAUUGCCAGUGAUUUAAAUAGUAAAGAAGGUUAUUGUCAGUUUUCAGAUAAUGAUGGUUGUUUUUAUAUAAAAACAAAUGCAAUUUGUGGUACAAAAAGUACGAGUGUAGAUGACAUAUGGACAUGUGAAACUGAUUUACCUUCUCAUGGUUCUCAAAGGCCCAUAAUUACAAAAUAUGAUGAAAAAGAGACGAAGAAUUCAGAAAUUAACAAGAUGUAUGAAUCAAAACUUGAGGGUUGUGUGGACACUAAAAAAUUGGAGAAUCAACACAAUGCAAGUGUCAGUGAAAAUGGUGCUGAAAAGAGUAAUUCCAAAGUAAUGUCUCAGAGUCAAGACACCAUGGAAUUUAGCUGUGACACACUGGAAAAUGAAAGUCAGUGGAGGUCAAGUCUUGAAAAUGUUGAACAUUCAAAUACCAAGGAUAAUGACAGCACUGAAGCAGCUGCCUCUGCCCAACAUAAGAGGAAAACACAUACCAAGAUUGAAACACCGUUAGGGAAUCCAGCUGACAUCAGUGGCAGUCUUGAUGAGGUUUCUGAACAAUUUCCACAAAUUCCUUUCCCUAAACACCUGUCUGCUAAAGACUUGGUAGCCAAACCAUUGGAUUAUACUCAAAUGUCUGAUCAUAAUAGAAAGCUCCAAACCAUUGCGUGUGCAAGGCCGCAUACCAUCCACAGUAGAUCCCUGUUUGAUUUAACGGAGAAAACCAUACACCAAUUAUCUCCUGUGCCCCACCCACAUGAGCUUUUCAAACGAAACCGGGUACCAAGAAGCCUGAAUGUCAACCUUAUCAGCAGCCAGUCAGCCAGGGUAUCAGGGCAGACAGCUUGUGCUGAAGCAAGGGCAGCAACUGUGGCUGCUCAUGUUCAACCUGCAAAGGCACACUACUUCUCAGUUGUAGAUGAUGAAAGGCUGCAGUUGUUGAAGGCUGAGCACUCUGCGGGUGAUUUCAGAUUAAGUUUAGAGCCAGAAAAGACCUUUCAACAAAGUGAUCCAAAGGUGUCCCCAUUUCAGAGACUUUCAGAUUCAGAUGACCUCCUCCAGUCACCGCAGUUUUAUUUUGAAUAUGGCAGUGUGAAACCUGAGAUGCGGGCACCAAGUGACAACUUGAAUACUGACCAUGACGAUGCACUGAGGGUCCCCUGUGUGACCUUGUCUGACCUUCCAAUGUCACCUGCAUCCACUUCACAACAAACAGAUGAAGAAAUCUUUGAGGAGUUGUACAAGCCCAGGAUGAUGUAUAAUAGAAUUGAACACUGGAACAAUUUAAUGACACCCUCUACGAAUCUUCGCCCUAUUCAAUUGUCUGAACAAGGCAUUCACACUGUGUCAGACUCUUUUACAAGUUCUUCAGCCGAGAGUGUUCAAAGAAUUAUCAAUCAUGCUUGUACUUUAGGGGAAUCAAUGCAGCCCAAUUUACUGGAAACAGUAAGUUGCCCGGACAUCAAUGUCAGUUGGCGCAAUUCAAGCUUAGAAGCCUUUAGGAGAAAAAGAAAACUUAAGAAUUCAGAGUGGUUAAUUGAUGGAAGUCAUGUUAAAGAAUUUUGUAGUGAUGAAUAUUCCUCUAAUCUGAAUCAACAUUCUUUGUCGGAGCAAUGUGACCAAAGUGUUUCCAAGCAUGGUGAUAACUGCCUUGGCAAAAGUGUUCAGAAUAAAAUUCCAACAUCAGUCACUUAUUCACCAAAUGAAGACGAGGACACAAGAAAAAUGAAAUACUGUAAACUUACACAAUUAACUGAAGGUGAGAGUAACUUUUAUUCAUCUGAUGAGGAAAGCUGUGUGUAUGAUGCAUUAGAUGUAAUAGAUCAAAUCAAUCAGCAAGAUGUUCUAGAAAAUUCAAAGUGGUGCAAAUUUGCGCAGAGUCCAAGAAGCGAUGAGUCAGAGGUAGAUCUUUCCAAAUACACUGUGAUGGAUAACAAGGCUGACUGCAAAAGAGUCUUCCAUGUUUUGGACAAACCUUGCAAUCUUUACUCAACACAAUCUGUUAAAACAUCCAACAGCAAUCAGACAAAACAGAAAUUUGAAAUAGUGAACCAGAAAUUGGAUAAUCGUGUGGCAGUUGCCAACUCUCAAUCAAGUUUUUCAUCAAUUGACUCUUUUGAAAAAAUGCUUGUUGAGAAUGAAUUUAACAUAGAAAAGCUUUCAAAUGUCAGAGAUAAUCAAAUUGUAUUAAGUGAUCAUGAUCAUGAAUUAAUACAAGAAGAACCUAAACUAAUUACAAAGGCAGAUAUUAUUUCCAAUAAAGAUUUGAACAAUGAAGAUGAACCCAGUAAUAAAACAGCUAACUCAAAUGAUUAUGACAUUUCUAUUGUGGAAGAAGAAAAAAUUGAUGCAAGAGAGAUUUUUGUCAACAAUCAGCUUUCUCAAAAUGAAGCAACUGUGACAGAAAAGUAUAAUAUGGCCGAUAACAUAACAAAAUGGGGCUUUUCAAAUGAAGGAAAUAAAAGCCAUUCAGAAACUAUGAGCAACACUCCCCUGUUGGCUAAUCUAGAUUUUGCAACUGUUGGUGAAACCAUAAAACAAUCAGUCUCUAAUAAAAGCAAUGAUAACAGCAUAUUUGAUAUAAGUGAUAGUGAAAACACUUUCUCUCAAGGAUUUGACAAUAGUGCUAAACUACUGGUUAUAGAGAAUGAGGUGAUACAAAGGGAAGAGUCUGAAACGGAAGCGCCUAUUAAACAAAAUGCAACAAUAUUCAAUUCAUCUUCAGAUCAAUCAUUUACAUUCAAAGACAUGAUUGCUAUUGCGGAUGAAACCCAUAUCACUGAAACUAAUGUAGACGAUCCAAUUGUAAAACCAGCUGGUGGAAUGCGAAUUGGGUGGAAGCCUCCUGUCAAAAAUCUGAAAAAUUCGAGUAAUGGAAAUGUAACAGAAAUAGCAAGGGCUCCUUUUAAAUGCUUACAGAUUCUUGAAAAGGCCAAACUGAAUCGAGGGGAAGAUUUUGGAAGUGCUUUAAAUAAUUAUGAAGUCUCUGUGAAAAAUAGUGCUUUUGAUGAACUUAAUAAUAAACCAGACUCUGUGUCAAGAAUAAUUGAAAUGAAGCAGACCAAUCAGUAUUUGUCAAAAGGGAGAGAUGCCUCACUAUGUUUAUCAGUGACUUUGAGAGAGUCUAAUGUCAAUAGAAGGUUUAAGCCCCCAACAAAAUCAGUCAGCCCGACAACUGUAGGUUCUGUGAAGGAACAAGCCAUUCUGCCAUCACAUUCAAGGUGCACCCAAACAGGGAACCAACAGAGUGUAAUAUGUGGAGAGCUGUGUUUCCCAGCACGGUCAGUGGUGGAGAGUGGUCAGCCAGUGGUGAGGGUGGUCAGUAUUCCAGCUACAUUCCCAAGUGUGGCUGCAUACAAACAGACCCUCUCACAGGCUCUCACAGAGUACUUGAACACACAGCUGUUUAACGUGGCACAUCGCUAUCACAAGGCCCUGUCACAGAUGGACAUUACACGCUGUGCAGGCUCUAACAUGAAGAGCCCGAUGUCAGGAGCUGCAAAGUCAUCCCACCCAUCAUGUCAGUGUGGAAUGCCUUCCAAGAUGGUGCUGGUGAAGAAGGUGGGACCUAAUCAGGGACGGGCAUUCUACGCAUGUAGUGCAGAUAGGAAUCAGCAAUGCAAAUUUUUUAAGUGGGCAGAUGAGAAUACAGGACCCCAGUCUGGGUCAUCUUGCAUGAAGCGCCAAGUGGACAGCAUUGAGACCUUAAACCUGCAGAUGAGGGCCCUGCAUAUCCAAUUCUAUGGGGACUGUGUGCUGGUCAGACGGGCCAAGGAAGACAUCAGUCGAUAUAUCAAGGCUCCGAAGUGGGUUCAGGCUAAAAUGAACCCUGAAGCAAGUCCCACCAAACAGAUGUUGUUGAGGCUUCCAUACAAAGGCCACUCAUCUCUCUAUGCUAAAGAUGACGUAUGGGUGAUCUCUCGGGAGCUGACGUUUGACCCGGGCUGUACAUUCCUUGCCAGGAGCACCUUCCAUGGCCCCUCUUCCUCCCUGGAAGUGGAACUUGAGCCAAUCACAGGUCACUCCCCGUCUAACUGGACCAAUGGCACUGUGUGCCAUACACUGCUAGCAGGCAAUGCCUCCUCAGAACUGAGUUGCCUUGACAAUGUGAGAGAGCACCUGCAGUCACAGUCACCACCAAUAGUGCCUCAGCUAUUGAACAGGUUUGUUUGCAGUCAGUCCACAGGCAGUACAGUGCCAGGGUUCCAGGCACCAAGGAAUGUACAGAACCCACUGCAGGGAUGGCUGUCCUCGGAACAAAUGGACUAUAUGGCUGAGGACUACAUCAAGCGCUACUCCCUGAAUGUGGAUCAGACUGAGGCUCUGCGCAGAGUGGCAGCCAUCUUCACAAGAGAGAAAACUCACAAAGUGGACAGUGUGCUACUGAUUCAUGGAGUGUUUGGUGCUGGCAAAAGUUAUCUGCUCUCAGUGGCAGUACUCUUCUUGAUGGAGGUGUUUUCCAAAAUGGCUGCCACGUCAUUCCAGCAACCGUCACCAUGGAAACUGCUCAUCUCCUCCACUACCAAUGUUGCAGUGGACAGAAUAUUGAUGGGGCUACUAGAUUUGGGUUUUGAAGAUUUUGUACGUGUUGGCAGUGUGAAGAAGAUAGCUAAGCCAGUGCUUCCAUACAGUGUGCAUGCAUCAGGAACAGAGAGCCAAGAGCUGAAGGACCUGCAGGAAAUGUUGAGGUGCCCUGAUCUCACUGCCACUGAGAAGAGUCACAUCCGCAAAGGGAUUGAAAAACAUCGUAAGGGAGAAAACAAGAAGAAACUGGGAAGAGUACAAGUAGUUGGGGCCACAUGCGCAUCUUGCUCCCUCACCACCUUACAGAACAUGCAGUUUCCUUUGGUGCUGUUGGACGAGUGCAGCCAGAUGACAGAGCCUGCCUCCCUGCUGCCUGUUGCCAGGUACCAGUGCCAGAAACUGAUCCUCGUUGGAGACCCCAAGCAACUCGACCCGACUAUCGAAGGUGCAGACAGUGUCCAUGCCAAUGGCCUUGAGCAGACCCUAUUUGAUAGGCUAAUACUCAUGGGUCAUAUACCAACAUUAUUGCGUACCCAGUACCGAUGUCACCCCCACAUUAGUGCCAUCGCUAACAGUCUGUUCUAUGGAGGCAUGCUGACUGAUGGAGUCACUGAGACUGACAGAAAACCAUUGCUGCCGUUCCUGCCAACCCUGUGCUACUAUGACGUAUCUCGCGGUACAGAGACCAGUGAGGGUGCGGGGAGUUUUUAUAAUGAGGCCGAGGCAGGCUUCGUCGUUUUUCUGCUGCAGACAUUUGUGCUAUGUGGUCUGGGGACGGAACGUUUGGGCGUCAUAACGCUGUACCGCGGGCAGGUGACCAGAAUCAAUGAUCUCCUUUCAAGGGGCGUGAUCGAGGUGAAGUCUGAGGGGAGGAAAAUUCUGUAAACUGAUUUUGACUAUGCGGAUCGCAUGCAUAAUGCAAUGACAAACCUUAAAACAGACAUGAAAAAAACACCAUCUUUAACUUAUUAACAAGAUUUAUGUAUGAAAACGUAUUUAAAUUCACAUAUAACAAAUUAUGCAAAGUCACCAGUAUUAAUUGUGAUCAAAAUCAAUAUCUGUUCCGAUCCCUGUGAAAGAUGACACCAAUCCUUUUUUGGGGCUCAAUGUCUUUAAAUUCUAGGUAAGGCCAACAAUGUAACAGUUUUCCACUAACAACAAUUAAUUUACCACGGGAUCUGUAGUUCAAGACUUUGUCAUAUCCUGACACAUACUUCAGCCUUACCAAGACAGUCGAUCUUCUGUACUGAUUAAGAAAGUGGUAUCAAUUUCUAAUUUAUAUCCACUGAUGUUUCUUCCCUUUCCCAUUGAAAUUUGUAUUUCAAUAAUUUUCAAUCUCAGAGAUUCGUUCAAUAAUCUUAAUUUUCGCUUCACAAAGGCGCCAUUUGCAAACAAAUCAGCAAAAAAAAGAAACACAUUUCAAAACACUGAUUUUAAUUGGAAGAUUGGGAAACAACAGCCAAUCUCAUCGCUUGUUUAAAAAAAAUGCUUAGGCAGAAUCUACCAGUGUAAUCUGUUGAGAGGUUUUGCGGGCCGCAGAUUUUUUGGGCCGCUUAUCAAAUACACCUGAAUAAUUGUUCUUACCCUUCCCCCAUUUUUUAAAAAUUUACUUGAAUCGCAAAAUGACCGCCGUACAUACCGUUCCGGGGAUCCAGGGAAAAAUCACACCCCUGAAAAAUGUAGCUGACAAAGCAGUGUGGGGGUAUUACUGGCGUGUGGGACACGGCUCAAGUUAUUAAGUUGAGAAUUUUCAUGUGGUGAGAAUGUAUAUGGUAAGGACAGACAACUAUACAAGCCUGCAAUGUAACUGUUUCAUGAGCAGUGGUGGUGGAGAUUCCAAGGGAGUUCAGGUGUCCACAGUGGACGCGUUCCAGGGUGGAGAGAGGGACAUCAUUAUCCUCUCUACAGUACGCACCAAGGGCAUGGGAUUCAUAGACAAUGACAAGAGGAUGAAUGUUGCGCUAACCCGGG